This 254-nucleotide ribosomal RNA is filed under the name uncultured bacterium. RNAcentral's name for it is "partial 16S ribosomal RNA". It matches the Rfam family "Bacterial small subunit ribosomal RNA", at positions 524 to 776 of the family's 1533-position model. The record is from RNAcentral.
UACAGAGGUCCCGAGCGUUGUUCGGAUUUACUGGGCGUAAAGGGUGCGUAGGCGGUGGGGUAAGUUUGAGGUGAAAGCUCCGGGCUCAACCCGGAAACUGCCUUGAAAACUAUCCGGCUAGAGGGUUGGAGGGGAGACUGGAAUUCUCGGUGUAGCAGUGAAAUGCGUAGAUCUCGAGAGGAACACCAGUGGCGAAGGCGGGUCUCUGGACAACACCUGACGGCUGAGGCACGAAAGCCAGGGGAGCAAACGGG